This 332-nucleotide unclassified non-coding RNA is filed under the name soil metagenome. RNAcentral describes it as "partial contains 5.8S ribosomal RNA, internal transcribed spacer 2, and large subunit ribosomal RNA". The stretch from base 1 to 120 matches the Rfam family "5.8S ribosomal RNA", at positions 35 to 154 of the family's 154-position model. The record is from RNAcentral.
GAUGAAGAACGCAGCGAAAUGCGAUAAGUAGUGUGAAUUGCAGAAUUCAGUGAAUCAUCGAAUCUUUGAACGCACAUUGCGCCCUUUGGUAUUCCUUAGGGCAUGCCUGUUCGAGCGUCAUUUAAACCUUCAAGCUCAGCUUGGUGUUGGGUGACUGUCCGCUUCACCGCGGACUCGCCUCAAAAUUAUUGGCGGCCGGUACAUUGGCUUCGAGCGCAGCAGAAACGCGAACUCGGGCCCGUCGUAUUGGCACCCAGAAGCUAUCUUCACAAUUUUGACCUCGGAUCAGGUAGGGAUACCCGCUGAACUUAAGCAUAUCAAUAAGCGGAGGA